This 484-nucleotide ribosomal RNA is filed under the name uncultured organism. RNAcentral's name for it is "bacterial SSU rRNA". It matches the Rfam family "Bacterial small subunit ribosomal RNA", at positions 28 to 507 of the family's 1533-position model. The record is from RNAcentral.
GAUGAACGCUAGCGGCAGGCUUAAUACAUGCAAGUCGAACGGUAACAUGAGUAGCAAUACUUGAUGACGAGUGGCGCACGGGUGCGUAACGCGUAUGCAACUUACCUUCAACUGGAAGAUAGCCCCUCGAAAGAGGGAUUAAUAUUCCAUAAUUUUAUGAUUUGGCAUCAAAUUAUAAUUAAAGAUCAGUCGGUUGAAGAUAGGCAUGCGUGACAUUAGCUAGUUGGUGAGGUAAUGGCUCACCAAGGCAACGAUGUCUAGGGGAUCUGAGAGGACUAACCCCCACACUGGUACUGAGACACGGACCAGACUCCUACGGGAGGCAGCAGUAAGGAAUAUUGGUCAAUGGAGGCAACUCUGAACCAGCCAUGCCGCGUGAAGGAUGAAGGCCCUAUGGGUUGUAAACUUCUUUUAUACGGGAAGAAACCUCCGCACGUGUGCGGAGCUGACGGUACUGUAAGAAUAAGGAUCGGCUAACUCCGUG